This 2894-nucleotide ribosomal RNA is filed under the name Escherichia coli. RNAcentral's name for it is "bacterial LSU rRNA". It matches the Rfam family "Bacterial large subunit ribosomal RNA". The record is from RNAcentral. Lineage: Bacteria; Pseudomonadati; Pseudomonadota; Gammaproteobacteria; Enterobacterales; Enterobacteriaceae.
ACUAAGCGUACACGGUGGAUGCCCUGGCAGUCAGAGGCGAUGAAGGACGUGCUAAUCUGCGAUAAGCGUCGGUGAGGUGAUAUGAACCGUUAUAACCGGCGAUUUCCGAAUGGGGAAACCCAGUGUGUUUCGACACACUAUCAUUAACUGAAUCCAUAGGUUAAUGAGGCGAACCGGGGGAACUGAAACAUCUAAGUACCCCGAGGAAAAGAAAUCAACCGAGAUUCCCCCAGUAGCGGCGAGCGAACGGGGAGGAGCCCAGAGCCUGAAUCAGUGUGUGUGUUAGUGGAAGCGUCUGGAAAGGCGCGCGAUACAGGGUGACAGCCCCGUACACAAAAAUGCACAUAUUGUGAGCUCGAUGAGUAGGGCGGGACACGUGGUAUCCUGUCUGAAUAUGGGGGGACCAUCCUCCAAGGCUAAAUACUCCUGACUGACCGAUAGUGAACCAGUACCGUGAGGGAAAGGCGAAAAGAACCCCGGCGAGGGGAGUGAAAAAGAACCUGAAACCGUGUACGUACAAGCAGUGGGAGCCUCUUAAUGGGGUGACUGCGUACCUUUUGUAUAAUGGGUCAGCGACUUAUAUUCUGUAGCAAGGUUAACCGAAUAGGGGAGCCGAAGGGAAACCGAGUCUUAACUGGGCGUUAAGUUGCAGGGUAUAGACCCGAAACCCGGUGAUCUAGCCAUGGGCAGGUUGAAGGUUGGGUAACACUAACUGGAGGACCGAACCGACUAAUGUUGAAAAAUUAGCGGAUGACUUGUGGCUGGGGGUGAAAGGCCAAUCAAACCGGGAGAUAGCUGGUUCUCCCCGAAAGCUAUUUAGGUAGCGCCUCGUGAAUUCAUCUCCGGGGGUAGAGCACUGUUUCGGCAAGGGGGUCAUCCCGACUUACCAACCCGAUGCAAACUGCGAAUACCGGAGAAUGUUAUCACGGGAGACACACGGCGGGUGCUAACGUCCGUCGUGAAGAGGGAAACAACCCAGACCGCCAGCUAAGGUCCCAAAGUCAUGGUUAAGUGGGAAACGAUGUGGGAAGGCCCAGACAGCCAGGAUGUUGGCUUAGAAGCAGCCAUCAUUUAAAGAAAGCGUAAUAGCUCACUGGUCGAGUCGGCCUGCGCGGAAGAUGUAACGGGGCUAAACCAUGCACCGAAGCUGCGGCAGCGACGCUUAUGCGUUGUUGGGUAGGGGAGCGUUCUGUAAGCCUGUGAAGGUGGCCUGUGAGGGUUGCUGGAGGUAUCAGAAGUGCGAAUGCUGACAUAAGUAACGAUAAAGCGGGUGAAAAGCCCGCUCGCCGGAAGACCAAGGGUUCCUGUCCAACGUUAAUCGGGGCAGGGUGAGUCGACCCCUAAGGCGAGGCCGAAAGGCGUAGUCGAUGGGAAACAGGUUAAUAUUCCUGUACUUGGUGUUACUGCGAAGGGGGGACGGAGAAGGCUAUGUUGGCCGGGCGACGGUUGUCCCGGUUUAAGCGUGUAGGCUGGUUUUCCAGGCAAAUCCGGAAAACCAAGGCUGAGGCGUGAUGACGAGGCACUACGGUGCUGAAGCGACAAAUGCCCUGCUUCCAGGAAAAGCCUCUAAGCAUCAGGUAACAUCAAAUCGUACCCCAAACCGACACAGGUGGUCAGGUAGAGAAUACCAAGGCGCUUGAGAGAACUCGGGUGAAGGAACUAGGCAAAAUGGUGCCGUAACUUCGGGAGAAGGCACGCUGAUAUGUAGGUGAAGCGACUUGCUCGUGGAGCUGAAAUCAGUCGAAGAUACCAGCUGGCUGCAACUGUUUAUUAAAAACACAGCACUGUGCAAACACGAAAGUGGACGUAUACGGUGUGACGCCUGCCCGGUGCCGGAAGGUUAAUUGAUGGGGUUAGCGGUAACGCGAAGCUCUUGAUCGAAGCCCCGGUAAACGGCGGCCGUAACUAUAACGGUCCUAAGGUAGCGAAAUUCCUUGUCGGGUAAGUUCCGACCUGCACGAAUGGCGUAAUGAUGGCCAGGCUGUCUCCACCCGAGACUCAGUGAAAUUGAACUCGCUGUGAAGAUGCAGUGUACCCGCGGCAAGACGGAAAGACCCCGUGAACCUUUACUAUAGCUUGACACUGAACAUUGAGCCUUGAUGUGUAGGAUAGGUGGGAGGCUUUGAAGUGUGGACGCCAGUCUGCAUGGAGCCGACCUUGAAAUACCACCCUUUAAUGUUUGAUGUUCUAACGUGGGCCCCUAAUCGGGGUUGCGGACAGUGUCUGGUGGGUAGUUUGACUGGGGCGGUCUCCUCCUAAAGAGUAACGGAGGAGCACGAAGGUUGGCUAAUCCUGGUCGGACAUCAGGAGGUUAGUGCAAUGGCAUAAGCCAGCUUGACUGCGAGCGUGACGGCGCGAGCAGGUGCGAAAGCAGGUCAUAGUGAUCCGGUGGUUCUGAAUGGAAGGGCCAUCGCUCAACGGAUAAAAGGUACUCCGGGGAUAACAGGCUGAUACCGCCCAAGAGUUCAUAUCGACGGCGGUGUUUGGCACCUCGAUGUCGGCUCAUCACAUCCUGGGGCUGAAGUAGGUCCCAAGGGUAUGGCUGUUCGCCAUUUAAAGUGGUACGCGAGCUGGGUUUAGAACGUCGUGAGACAGUUCGGUCCCUAUCUGCCGUGGGCGCUGGAGAACUGAGGGGGGCUGCUCCUAGUACGAGAGGACCGGAGUGGACGCAUCACUGGUGUUCGGGUUGUCAUGCCAAUGGCACUGCCCGGUAGCUAAAUGCGGAAGAGAUAAGUGCUGAAAGCAUCUAAGCACGAAACUUGCCCCGAGAUGAGUUCUCCCUGACUCCUUGAGAGUCCUGAAGGAACGUUGAAGACGACGACGUUGAUAGGCCGGGUGUGUAAGCGCAGCGAUGCGUUGAGCUAACCGGUACUAAUGAACCGUGAGGCUUAACC